UCGCUUCUGCAGCAAAUAUACUAAAAUUGGAACGAUACAGAUAGAUUAGCAUGGCUCCUGCGCAAGGAUGACACACGAAUUCAUGAAGCAUUCCAUAUUUUU
Small nuclear RNA from Trichechus manatus latirostris (Florida manatee), 102 nucleotides. Lineage: Eukaryota; Metazoa; Chordata; Mammalia; Sirenia; Trichechidae. The record is from RefSeq and is a predicted model, not a curated record.